Mastomys coucha (southern multimammate mouse) is the source of this 64-nucleotide small nuclear RNA. RefSeq annotates it as U7 small nuclear RNA. The record is from RefSeq and is a predicted model, not a curated record. The transcript has a single exon. NCBI's taxonomy places the organism in Eukaryota, Metazoa, Chordata, Mammalia, Rodentia, Muridae.
GAAUGAACACAGCUCUUUUAAAAUUUUUCUAGCAGGUUUUUCUGACUUUGUUUGGAAAACCCAG